GAUGAACGCUGGCGGCGUGCCUAAUACAUGCAAGUCGAACGAACGGAAUUAGAGUUUACUCUGAGGAAGUUAGUGGCGAACGGGUGAGUAAUACAUAAGCAACCUACCUUUAUGACUGGGAUAACUAUUGGAAACGAUAGCUAAUACCGGAUAGGUAGUUGAGUGGCAUCACUUAAUUAUUAAAGGUUAGAAACACAAAAGGAUGGGCUUAUGGCGCAUUAGCUAGUUGGUGAGGUAGAGGCUCACCAAGGCGAUGAUGCGUAGCCGACCUGAGAGGGUGACCGGCCACACUGGGACUGAGACACGGCCCAGACUCCUACGGGAGGCAGCAGUAGGGAAUUUUCGGCAAUGGGGGCAACCCUGACCGAGCAACGCCGCGUGAGUGAUGAAGGCCUUCGGGUUGUAAAGCUCUGUUGUAAAGGAAGAAUGGCAGAGAUAGAAUCUUUGUAUGACGGUACUUUACCAGAAAGCCACGGCUAACUACGUGCCAGCAGCCGCGGUAAUACGUAGGUGGCAAGCGUUAUCCGGAAUUAUUGGGCGUAAAGGGUGCGCAGGCGGCCAUAUAAGUCUGGGGUGAAAGACCGAAGCUCAACUUCGGUUUGCCUUGGAAACUGUAUGGCUAGAGUGCAAGAGAGGACAAUGGAAUUCCAUGU
This 653-nucleotide ribosomal RNA is filed under the name uncultured Mollicutes bacterium. Its description in RNAcentral is "bacterial SSU rRNA". It matches the Rfam family "Bacterial small subunit ribosomal RNA", at positions 28 to 674 of the family's 1533-position model. Lineage: Bacteria; Bacillati; Mycoplasmatota; Mollicutes. The record is from RNAcentral.